GGCUGUCUAUCUGCAAUGAGUUAAGCUGAUGCUGGAUGUGGUGCUCCCACAGGCUCCACCAAGAAGGAUCUUUCCACAGUGUCAGCUGAGUCAGAUAACAAGCUCCCUAAGGAUUCCAUCCCUGCCAGGUAUUGAAAUGGAAAAAAACCCCUCCGUUUUACUCUGUCCUUCAUCUCUGAAGCACAUCAAAGCCUGACUGAAUUCUCUGUGUGAAGGGAGGAAGAGAAGCACUGGAUGACAGUAUUGGGCUGCUAUUUAGACAAAGUAGAAGAGGAAUAGGUCUGAACCAUCUGCCUGUACUUGGCUUAUGUCUAACUUCACUGUUUAACAGGAAUACAGCUGCAAAAACUUAUAUGGACACAUUUUCUUGAGAAGGUAACCAACCACCAUGGACUCCUUUAUUCUUUGCUGUCAAAAGGAGAGGUAGAAGUUAUCGUAAAGAAGUAAAAAGGAUAGACCUAAAUAUUAAAUUAGGUGCUAAAUGGAGAUCUGACAUGAGUUCAUCCUCCAAAGGGUACCAGAUAGCCCUAAAAGAUAGUUCUCAGCUUCAGUAGAAAUCAUGGAUAUGUCAGAUAAUGGAAAUGGUCUUCUCUGGGAACUACAACUGCCAGUUUUCCAGUUGACAAUAUGAGUGAAUACUUGGGUAAUUUACUUGAUAUUUUAUUGACAAAUUAUUUUUACAUAUCUAGUAAAUAAAAACUUAUCUCUGAAGGUUUGAGCUAUUAUU
Molecule: long non-coding RNA, 727 nt
Filed under: Zonotrichia albicollis (white-throated sparrow)
Lineage: Eukaryota; Metazoa; Chordata; Aves; Passeriformes; Passerellidae
Description: lncRNA (ENSZALG00000017560.1)
Source: RNAcentral